GGAAGUCUUCCUUGCGGAGUUGGCGCCAGCUAGCUCUUGAACAGCUGGAUGAGCAAGAUGGUGAUGCAGAACAAAGCAACGGAAAGAUGAACGGUAGCACCUUAAAUAAAGAUGAAUCAAAGGAAGAAAGAAAAGAAGAGGAGGAAUUAAAUUUUAAUGAAGAUAUUCUGUGUCCACAUGGUAAGCUAGAAGCAUAAAUGAAUUCUGUUUUAUUAUCCUUUUUUUUACUUUUAGCUUCUACUGCCUGGCUUUCAUGCCAGUAUCUCUCACAUCUUACCUGGGAAAAAUUUUUUUUAAUAGAAUUUCCCCAUAUUUAGAGGAAAUCAUUGGAAAAGAAACUUCUUGUCACUUGUUCCAUUGAAGUGCUUUUGAAUUUGAAGUAUUGAAUUUCAGUUGUUUCCCAUGACUGUCAUUGUCCAAGUUAAACACUUUGAGAAUAGUGCUC
This 445-nucleotide small RNA is filed under the name Pan troglodytes (chimpanzee). RNAcentral describes it as "retained intron". Lineage: Eukaryota; Metazoa; Chordata; Mammalia; Primates; Hominidae. The record is from RNAcentral.